Non-coding RNA from Myotis brandtii (Brandt's bat), 75 nucleotides. Lineage: Eukaryota; Metazoa; Chordata; Mammalia; Chiroptera; Vespertilionidae. The record is from Rfam.
GGUGGUUCUCGGGUGACGCACUCUGGAAUCAGGCUCCCUCCUCCCUGGUUCCAGGUGCAUCACCUGAGAACCACA